UUGGAGGGCAAGUCUGGUGCCAGCAGCCGCGGUAAUUCCAGCUCCAAUAGCGUAUAUUAAAGUUGUUGCAGUUAAAAAGCUCGUAGUUGAAUUUCGGGAUCAAUGUUUCGGUCAUGCCGUUGGUAUGUACUGAUAUUAUUGGUUUCUCACCUUCUAAAGAACCGUAAUGCCAUUAGUUUGGUGUCACGGGGAAUUAGGACUGUUACCUUGAAAAAAUUAGAGUGUUUAAAGCAGGCUCACGCUUGAAUACAUUAGCAUGGAAUAAUGAAAUAGGACAUCCGAUUCUAUUUUGUUGGUUUCUAGGAUCGAUGUAAUGAUUAAUAGGGAUAGUUGGGGGCAUUAGUAUUCAAUUGUCAGAGGUGAAAUUCUUGGAUUUAUUGAAGACUAACUACUGCGAAAGCGUUUGCCAAGGAUGUUUUCAUUAAUCAAGAACGAAAGUUAGGGGAUCGAAGACGAUCAGAUACCGUCGUAGUCUUAACCAUAAACUAUGCCGACUAGGGAUCGGCGGAUGUUGCUUAUAGGACUCCGCCGGCACCUUAUGGGAAACCAAAGUGUUUGGGUUC
Molecule: ribosomal RNA, 563 nt
Filed under: uncultured Glomeromycotina
Lineage: Eukaryota; Fungi; Glomeromycota
Description: SSU rRNA
Rfam family: Eukaryotic small subunit ribosomal RNA
Source: RNAcentral